Molecule: ribosomal RNA, 402 nt
Filed under: uncultured eukaryote
Lineage: Eukaryota
Description: bacterial SSU rRNA
Rfam family: Bacterial small subunit ribosomal RNA
Source: RNAcentral
GCAAGUCGUACGAGAGUUUUUAACUCAAGUGGCGGACGGGUGAGUAACACGUAAGAAUUUGCCUUUAGGAGGGGGAUAACAACUGGAAACGGUUGCUAAUACCCCAUAUGCUUUUGUUUCAAGGAAAUAAAAGUGAAAUGGAUUUCCGCCUAAAGAGAAGCUUGCGGCUGAUUAGCUUGUUGGUGAGGUAAUGGCUCACCAAGGCGACGAUCAGUAUCUGGUUUGAGAGGACGAUCAGACACACUGGAACUGAGACACGGUCCAGACUCCUACGGGAGGCAGCAGUGGGGAAUUUUCCGCAAUGGGCGAAAGCCUGACGGAGAAAUACCGCGUGAGGGAUGACGGCCUAUGGGUUGUAAACCUCUUUUUUCAGGGAGGAAUCAAUGACGUGUACCUGAAGAA